Molecule: ribosomal RNA, 407 nt
Filed under: bacterium enrichment culture clone ALO1_GLFRUDD03F76EY
Lineage: Bacteria
Description: bacterial SSU rRNA
Rfam family: Bacterial small subunit ribosomal RNA
Source: RNAcentral
GAGUUUGAUCCUGGCUCAGAUUGAACGCUGGCGGCAUGCCUUACACAUGCAAGUCGAACGGCAGCACGGGAGCUUGCUCCUGGUGGCGAGUGGCGAACGGGUGAGUAAUGCAUCGGAACGUAUCCUGGAGUGGGGGAUAACGUAGCGAAAGUUACGCUAAUACCGCAUAUUCUGUGAGCAGGAAAGCGGGGGACCUUCGGGCCUCGCGCUCUUGGAGCGGCCGAUGUCGGAUUAGCUAGUUGGUGAGGUAAAGGCUCACCAAGGCGACGAUCCGUAGCAGGUCUGAGAGGAUGAUCUGCCACACUGGAACUGAGACACGGUCCAGACUCCUACGGGAGGCAGCAGUGGGGAAUUUUGGACAAUGGGGGCAACCCUGAUCCAGCCAUGCCGCGUGAGUGAAGAGGGCC